Molecule: non-coding RNA, 46 nt
Organism: Schistosoma haematobium
Lineage: Eukaryota; Metazoa; Platyhelminthes; Trematoda; Strigeidida; Schistosomatidae
Source: Rfam
GCACUAAUGAGAAGUCCCACAAUAGGACGAAACGGCCGUCCAGUGC